CGCCUUCCAUGAAGCUGGAAUUGCUAGUAAUGGCAGGUCAGCAUACUGCCGUGAAUACGUUCCCGGGCCUUGUACACACCGCCCGUCACACCAUGAGAGUUGGAAAUACCCGAAGCCUGUGAGCUAACUUUUAGAGGCAGCAGUCGAAGGUAGAGCCAAUGAUUGGGGUGAAGUCGUAACAAGGUAGC
Molecule: ribosomal RNA, 188 nt
Filed under: uncultured bacterium
Lineage: Bacteria
Description: partial 16S ribosomal RNA
Rfam family: Bacterial small subunit ribosomal RNA
Source: RNAcentral